RNAcentral lists this long non-coding RNA (825 nucleotides) under Brassica napus (rape). RNAcentral's name for it is "long non-coding RNA (BNAP_LNC012418)". Lineage: Eukaryota; Viridiplantae; Streptophyta; Magnoliopsida; Brassicales; Brassicaceae. The record is from RNAcentral.
GAGAACGUACAUAAUUUGUCGGAAAUUAAUCGGUAAGUUCCGAUAUAAAAAUUUCAUCGGAAGUUUAUCGAAACGUACUCUCGGAAUUUUCUCAGAAACGACAAUGGCAUUGCUUUCUCGGUAAGACGUCAUAAGAAUAGACGCAAUUUCAUCGGAACCGAUUAUUAUUUCAAUUUGUAUUUUAACUUUAUCAUUUUUAUUAACUUUACCAUUAUUCAGCUAUUAAAAAAUACUGAGAAAUCUUCACAGCCAUUCAUUUUCAUUGUUUAUCUUUAUCUUUUUCCUUUCCUUUACUUCUCUCCGUCAAUUUUCUUUUUUGUUUUGAUAAGUCCGUCAAUUUUCUUAGUUAAUUUUUUUCUUCUCCUCGACUUAUUCUUUGAUUUUUUCUAUCUUCUCUCUCGUUUCUUUUUCCCUUCGUCUCACACUGUCUCUUUAACUAGAUCUGUUCUUCUUUCUUUUUCAGAUCUGUUAUUUUAUAUGGAAAAGACAAGUCAACUCUUUUACACGACCAUCUUUCCCGACACGACAAUCCUCCACGUCCACUAACACCGCCGUUUCUUCACGACCUUCGCUGCCGCAGUUUCUUCCACAGCCACCAUCAUCCCUGUUCUGUUUCUUCCAGUUCCACGGCCACCAUUCUCGCCGACUCGCCGUUUAAUCCACGGCACCACCCUCACCGUUUCUUCCUUGCCGUCGCCGUUUCUUCCACCACCGCUCAACCGUAGAUCUUCUAACUGCCAAAAUAAAUUAGUUUAUUAUAUUUUAUGUUAGAUUUACAUUCUUGUAAUAAAUAUUUUAUGAUUUUAUUUUAAAUUUACAUUUUUG